This 154-nucleotide unclassified non-coding RNA is filed under the name Potamophloios hispida. Its description in RNAcentral is "sequence contains ITS2, 28S rRNA gene". RNAcentral also lists the same sequence under 1 other name. The record is from RNAcentral. Lineage: Eukaryota; Metazoa; Porifera; Demospongiae; Spongillida; Potamolepidae.
UGCGCGUCGGGAACUCGACGGCGACAAGGCAUUGGGAAGACGACCUGGCCCGCUUUCUCUCUCGCGGUUGACGCGUGUCCCGGUUUGGCCAAACGAUUCCAUCCUGGACCUCAGCUCAGGCGUGACUACCCGCUGAAUUUAAGCAUAUCAAUAA